CUAGAAAAACUAUUGAAAAAAACUGCUACAUUAAUAUAAAAGAUCACUUCAAAUGCAAAGUAGCACUUUUUAAAGGCUCAGUCUGUGAAGGGCUCCUAGUUAUCUUUGCUGUUGAUACAGGAAGAGUAGGUGGUCCUUACAUUCAAACUGGGGUUGGCAUGCCAACAAGAUUUUCACCUCACGAUUACCAUGGGUCAAAAAAUAUACUAAAACAAUACUAUUGCAUGGUUACAACCUAGAAAAACUAUUGAAAAAAAAAAACUACUACAUUAAUAUAAAAGAUCACUUCAACCGCAAAUUGAAACUUUUUAAGGGCUCGGUCUGUGAAGGGCUCCUAGUUAUCUUUGCUGUUGAUAUAGGAAGAGUAGGUGGUCUUUACAUUAAAAAUUGGGUUGUCUCUCUAACCAGAUUUUCGCCUUAUCAUCACUAUGUCGUCGUUGUUUUCUUCCGCUUCAUCCGGGUCCGGGUCGCGGAGGCAGCAGCAUCAGGAGGGAAGCCCAGACAGCCCUCACCCCAGCCACUUCUCCCAGCUCCUCCAGGGGG
Xyrichtys novacula (pearly razorfish) is the source of this 543-nucleotide non-coding RNA. The record is from the annotation of a GenBank genome assembly. Lineage: Eukaryota; Metazoa; Chordata; Actinopteri; Labriformes; Labridae.